This 444-nucleotide ribosomal RNA is filed under the name uncultured bacterium. RNAcentral describes it as "partial 16S ribosomal RNA". It matches the Rfam family "Bacterial small subunit ribosomal RNA", at positions 354 to 796 of the family's 1533-position model. The record is from RNAcentral.
GUGGGGAAUUUUGGACAAUGGGCGCAAGCCUGAUCCAGCAAUGCCGCGUGCAGGAAGAAGGCCUUCGGGUUGUAAACUGCUUUUGUACGGGAAGAAACACUCCCUCGUGAGGGAGCUUGACGGUACCGUAAGAAUAAGGAUCGGCUAACUCCGUGCCAGCAGCCGCGGUAAUACGGAGGAUCCAAGCGUUAUCCGGAAUCAUUGGGUUUAAAGGGUCCGUAGGCGGUUUAAUAAGUCAGUGGUGAAAGCCCAUCGCUCAACGAUGGAACGGCCAUUGAUACUGUUAGACUUGAAUUACAAGGAAGUAACUAGAAUAUGUAGUGUAGCGGUGAAAUGCUUAGAUAUUACAUGGAAUACCAAUUGCGAAGGCAGGUUACUACUUGUGGAUUGACGCUGAUGGACGAAAGCGUGGGGAGCGAACAGGAUUAGAAACCCGGGUAGUCC